GGGAGGUUAGCUCAGGGGUAGAGCACCUGCCUUACACGCAGGGGGUCGUGGGUUCAAAUCCCCCACCUCCCACCA
This 75-nucleotide transfer RNA is filed under the name Candidatus Methylomirabilota bacterium. RNAcentral describes it as "tRNA-Val". It matches the Rfam family "tRNA". From Rfam's summary of the family: Transfer RNA (tRNA) molecules are approximately 80 nucleotides in length. Their secondary structure includes four short double-helical elements and three loops (D, anti-codon, and T loops). The record is from RNAcentral. RNAcentral also lists the same sequence under 5 other names. Lineage: Bacteria; Methylomirabilota (SeqCode).